AACGCGAAGAACCUUACCAAGGUUUGACAUCCUGCGAAGGUCUCUGAAAGGAGACUGUGCCUUCGGGAACGCAGUGACAGGUGAUGCAUGGCCGUCGUCAGCUCGUGUCGUGAGAUGUUUGGUUAAGUCCAUUAACGAGCGCAACCCUUAUAGUUAGUUGCUUUUUCUAGCUAGACUGCCCUGGUAACAGGGAGGAAGGAGGGGAUGAUGUCAGGUCAGUAUUUCCCUUACACCUUGGGCUACAAACACGCUACAAUGGCCGGUACAAAGGGCUGCCAAGUCGCGAGACGGAGCAAAUCCCAUCAAAGCCGGUCUCAGUUCGGAUUGUAGGCUGAAACUCGCCUGCAUGAAGAUGGAAUCGCUAGUAACGGUAGGUCAGCAUUACUACCGUGAAUACGUUCCCGGGCCUUGUA
RNAcentral lists this ribosomal RNA (413 nucleotides) under uncultured Candidatus Saccharibacteria bacterium. Its description in RNAcentral is "bacterial SSU rRNA". It matches the Rfam family "Bacterial small subunit ribosomal RNA", at positions 958 to 1385 of the family's 1533-position model. Lineage: Bacteria; Candidatus Saccharimonadota. The record is from RNAcentral.